GUGAGGAGUUGCAGCGUACGCCUAGACCGGCGGGGCAGGGUUUAUAGCUGCAUACACAGCACCCCUGCUUUUCUCUGCUUCUCUUCAUAGUCACCAGAUUCAUCUGUCAUAUCAUCAAUAAUAUAAUAAGAGUAGAGUUCUUGCCCGACCAGGCUCCUCUCCUUAACCUGCCUCUCUUAGUUAUGCUAUUAUAAUUCUAGACUGCCGGGGAAGUUCCUUCCUUCCUAUGACACACUGAGCUGCUCACUCAUCUCUCUUUUCAUUUGUUUCCUUUUUUGUACAUCUUUGUACCAGAAAUGCUUGUUCCUAACCUCGCUCUGGGGAGUUCACUCCCCGGACUCCUUAUGUUUCUUCUUCACCCAGAAUAUUGCCUUGGAUUAGGGUGGCACCAAGAUCUGGGUCUUGGGUGCAGCUGUCUCUAUGGACCUGCUACAACCUGCUACGCUUUGCGAUUCCCUGCAAUGUCCGGCUGCGUCCUGCCGCGUCCACUGCGUCCACCCAUCCUCUGCUGUGCCAUGCUACAUCCCGUAACGCCCUGCUGUGCCCGGCUAUGACAUGAACUACUAUGACUACCAUUGUAGUCACUGUUACAUUAUCUUUAUUAUGACUAUUAUUGCCACUGUUCAUCAACCCCCAACCGGCACCGUCAGACACCGCCUGACCCAUUGGCUUAUUUACAAGCCCAUCAAAGUUAACAAUAAUGACACCCCUAUAUUAUUUUAUUUUAUUUUGAGACAUUCGUUUUGUUUUCCAAGUUAUUAAAAUGUGGUCAAAAGUAGUUGUAAGAGAUAUCGGAGAAAAUAAUUGAAAAUGAUUUAACUUUCACUUAGCUUUGAUGGGCUUGUAAAUAAGCCAAUGGGUGAACUUGGGUCCGUGAGUUGACCAAUCAGCUAUCAACUAGGCUUGUUUGUUUACGUCCCUCACGUCCCUUUAGGUGCUGCAUUGGAACGUCGUAUAAAGCUGCUGUUAUUCCCUCGGUAAAAGAAAAAGUACUGCUAUGCCUUAUUGUGAAUAGAACAAAAGAGAGCUGUGUCUGAAUCCACUGUCAUCAAGGAGUUAAAGGCAGUGAAUUCCAUUAAAAUGGUGGAGGAGGUGGAGAUUUGAUCGAGACUCUGAACUCAGAUGGAUUGCCCUUGAUUCCUUCUUCAGGUGUGGGACAAACAGAAACCAAACUCAUAUGGGCCCCAACGUUGAACAUCUCUGAACUCUUGUCAUCAAAGAACAAUUGAGCUCAUAGAACUCAAAAGGGUUUCUUGUAUGUGCGCACUUUAUUUUUUAUUUUAGUUGUUAUUUUUCAUACCUGUUUUUAUCUGCAUACGUGUAUGCCAUAUUUCUGUGUAUAUUAAUACACUUCUCAAACUUUA
Molecule: long non-coding RNA, 1364 nt
Organism: Perca fluviatilis (European perch)
Lineage: Eukaryota; Metazoa; Chordata; Actinopteri; Perciformes; Percidae
Exons: 2
Source: RefSeq, a predicted model, not a curated record